RNAcentral lists this ribosomal RNA (497 nucleotides) under uncultured bacterium. RNAcentral describes it as "partial 16S ribosomal RNA". It matches the Rfam family "Bacterial small subunit ribosomal RNA", at positions 28 to 507 of the family's 1533-position model. The record is from RNAcentral.
GAUGAACGCUGGCGGCGUGCCUAAUACAUGCAAGUCGAGCGAACAGACGAGGAGCUUGCUCCUCUGACGUUAGCGGCGGACGGGUGAGUAACACGUGUAUAACCUACCUAUAAGACUGGGAUAACUUCGGGAAACCGGAGCUAAUACCGGAUAAUAUAUUGAACCGCAUGGUUCAAUAGUUAAAGACGGUUUUGCUGUCACUUAUAGAUGGAUCCGCGCCGCAUUAGCUAGUUGGUAAGGUAACGGCUUACCAAGGCAACGAUGCGUAGCCGACCUGAGAGGGUGAUCGGCCACACUGGAACUGAGACACGGUCCAGACUCCUACGGGAGGCAGCAGUAGGGAAUAUUCCGCAAUGGGCGAAAGCUUGACGGAGCAACGCCGCGUGAGUGAUGAAGGUCUUCGGAUCGUAAAACUCUGUUAUUAGGGAAGAACAAAUGUGUAAGUAACUAUGCACGUCUUGACGGUAACUAAUCAGAAAGCCACGGCUAACUACGUG